UGCACUUCAGUGUGUUUUACCUCACUUUUGGUAUACAGUUCCAGCUUCGUCUCCUGGGGUUGACCUGUCUAUUAAACGAGGGCUGAUGGGGACUAAAAUUUCUCAUGGUGCGUGAAUACUAAUGCCUACAGCUGGAAUAAAGCAAAAUCUUACUACUAGUCUUGGCAGAGGCUUCCAGCUAGGUAGUGUCAUGGAUAAGAAAUACUUCGGCAUUAACGCCAGAAGUGGGAUCCCGUUCAUGUGCUUCGUUCGUUCCCGCUUGUCCACAACGACCUGAAGGUGUUGAAAAGACCACACACUAGAAGUAGAAGGGACGACGACGUUUCGGUCCGUCCUGGACCAUUCUCAAGUCGUGACCACCUGGAGGUGGUCAGCCGGGUACACAUUCUCCUGCACAAACUGGUCUCUCACUGGAGGGCUCGGGCGACCACAGCCAGACAACGGGGAAGGCAACGAGGACUCUCUGGUACUGAACAUCUCUAAGAACGUCGUGAAAUGACACAUUGCCUGUCACCACGUCAAGGCCGUUGUCAAAGACCAGCUUUUGAUAUAUUUUUGACCCAGAAAAUGUCUUGACUUCCCCGAAUGUUGACGCUGUAAAAUAUUAAAAUUUAAACUAGCUCA
This is a long non-coding RNA of Procambarus clarkii (red swamp crayfish), 624 nucleotides long. RefSeq lists it as uncharacterized. The record is from RefSeq and is a predicted model, not a curated record. Lineage: Eukaryota; Metazoa; Arthropoda; Malacostraca; Decapoda; Cambaridae.